CCCAGACGCGUUGCCAUUCUCCAUUCACCACUCAGAGCCGAAGAAACCGAGGGAGGAGGUUCUCUGCCUCUCCAUCGCCCCAAACCUUGCCGCCGGCCGUGGAAACGACGACCAUCGCCAUCGCUGAUUGGCCACCGGAACGCGACCACGCCGACGACGCCCUGGAGCACGCACCGGAGCGCCGCCGCUUCAACCAUCGUCGUCGUCCGGCCAUUCUUGACCACCUCGGAGCAAGCCGUUGUGCCAUCGUCAUCGCCUCAAUCUCCUCUUCAAUACGCCUCAAGAACCCCAGCCGGAGAUUUGAAGGACUCGGAGAACGCAUCUUUUCUUCACCGGCGCCGAUCUAGAAUCGCCUCCGCCGUCAUCGUCGAUUACCGCUGCCUCGCUCAUCGUCCCGUUCGAGCCGUCGUCGUUCACCCGAGGAGGAGCACCGUCGCCGAGCCGUUCCACAAGUCACCGCUGCCGCCAAGACCUCGAAAACCCUAGCUCGACCCACGGUGAGCAUCCUGAAGGCUAGAAGACCACAUGCAUGCAUCGUUCGGAAUCGAUUUCCAUGCACACAUGAGCUUUCACCCCAAGAACCACCGCCGCUCACACUCGCCAUCGGCGCUACUCCGAUGUCCUCUGACCAAGAAAACUAGAGGAAUGGAAUCGCAAGAACAUGCUCUUCAUUUUAUCUUUUAACCCCAACUCCAACCGAGCCACCAAUCGCCGCCGGUGAACCCGGGAUCGAGCUCAGCCAUGGCUGCUCUGCCUCUGUGCGUGUGAAAAAGGAGUCAGGGACUUCAGUUUGAGAAUUUAAAUAACUAUAAGGUUCAUUACGUAA
This is a non-coding RNA of Oryza sativa Japonica Group (Japanese rice), 826 nucleotides long. The record is from RefSeq and is a predicted model, not a curated record. Lineage: Eukaryota; Viridiplantae; Streptophyta; Magnoliopsida; Poales; Poaceae.